AUACGGCGGAUCCGAGCGUUAUCCGGAUUUAUUGGGUUUAAAGGGAGCGUAGGCGGACGCUUAAGUCAGUUGUGAAAGUUUGCGGCUCAACCGUAAAAUUGCAGUUGAUACUGGGUGUCUUGAGUACAGUAGAGGCAGGCGGAAUUCGUGGUGUAGCGGUGGAAUGCUUAGAUAUCACGAAGAACUCCGAUUGCGAAGGCAGCCUGCUGGACUGUAACUGACGCUGAUGCUCGAAAGUGUGGGUAUCAAACAGGAUUAGAUACCCUGGUAGUCCACACAGUAAACGAUGAAUACUCGCUGUUUGCGAUAUACAGUAAGCGGCCAAGCGAAAGCGUUAAGUAUUCCACCUGGGGAGUACGCCGGCAACGGUGAAACUCAAAGGAAUUGGCGGGG
RNAcentral lists this ribosomal RNA (393 nucleotides) under uncultured bacterium. RNAcentral's name for it is "partial 16S ribosomal RNA". It matches the Rfam family "Bacterial small subunit ribosomal RNA", at positions 523 to 918 of the family's 1533-position model. The record is from RNAcentral.